This 460-nucleotide ribosomal RNA is filed under the name uncultured bacterium. RNAcentral's name for it is "partial 16S ribosomal RNA". It matches the Rfam family "Bacterial small subunit ribosomal RNA", at positions 338 to 795 of the family's 1533-position model. The record is from RNAcentral.
CCUACGGGUGGCAGCAGUGAGGAAUAUUGGUCAAUGGACGAGAGUCUGAACCAGCCAAGUAGCGUGAAGGAUGACUGCCCUAUGGGUUGUAAACUUCUUUUAUAUGGGAAUAAAAUGCUCCACGUGUGGGAUUUUGUAUGUACCAUAUGAAUAAGGAUCGGCUAACUCCGUGCCAGCAGCCGCGGUAAUACGGAGGAUCCGAGCGUUAUCCGGAUUUAUUGGGUUUAAAGGGAGCGUAGGUGGAUUGUUAAGUCAGCUGUGAAAGUUUGCGGCUCAACCGUAAAAUUGCAGUUGAAACUGGCAGUCUUGAGUACAGUAGAGGUGGGCGGAAUUCGUGGUGUAGCGGUGAAAUGCUUAGAUAUCACGAAGAACUCCGAUUGCGAAGGCAGUUCACUGGACUGCAACUGACACUGAGGCUCGAAAGUGUGGGUAUCAAACAGGAUUAGAUACCCCAGUAGUC